This 253-nucleotide ribosomal RNA is filed under the name uncultured bacterium. Its description in RNAcentral is "partial 16S ribosomal RNA". It matches the Rfam family "Bacterial small subunit ribosomal RNA", at positions 524 to 776 of the family's 1533-position model. The record is from RNAcentral.
UGCGUAGGGUGCAAGCGUUGUCCGGAAUUAUUGGGCGUAAAGAGCUCGUAGGCGGUUUGUCGCGUCGAAUGUGAAAACCCGGGGCUCAACCCCGGGCCUGCAUUCGAUACGGGCAGACUAGAGUUCGGUAGGGGAGUCUGGAAUUCCUGGUGUAGCGGUGAAAUGCGCAGAUAUCAGGAGGAACACCCGUGGCGAAGGCGGCUCUCUGGAACGCAACUGACGCUGAGACGCGAAAGCGUGGGGAGCAAACAGG